CCCCUUUCGCAUGACGCGCGCAGCGCCUAUAUUCCGCCCGCCGCUCCUCGGAACGGCUAUGGCGAUAAACGGACUUCGGAAUAAGCCUUUCGGACCCGGGGGCGGUACCCGGCGCCUCCACCACAGCCCUGCGGCGCGAGCAUGCAGGUGAUUCUCCCGGCGCGAGCCGGGAAGCGACUGCGGCGUUGGCUGCAGGGCUGCGGCGGGGGCGAAAUAGGAUCGACGAGGGUGUAAAGGUUGUUCUUUUGCUCGGCAUGGUUCCGCCGUUAUCGGGCCAAAAGCAUAGUUGCCAACGACAACAAUGCUCGGGUCGCCGUCGCCGCGUAAGCGGUGCUGGUACCCAAACCAAAGCCCUUGCGUUUAGCCGCGUAAGGCGGGGCUCGGAGGCGCCUGGCAACAGAAGCCUCCACU
This 411-nucleotide transfer-messenger RNA is filed under the name Chelatococcus sp. It matches the Rfam family "Alphaproteobacteria transfer-messenger RNA". From Rfam's summary of the family: Bacterial tmRNA, also known as 10Sa RNA or SsrA, is named for its dual tRNA and mRNA-like properties. Lineage: Bacteria; Pseudomonadati; Pseudomonadota; Alphaproteobacteria; Hyphomicrobiales; Chelatococcaceae. The record is from RNAcentral.